AUCAAGAUUUGGGUUCUAACAGGGGACAAGAUGGAAACAGCCAUUAAUAUAGCUUAUGCAUGCAAGUUGAUUGAUAAUGACAUGAAACAGUUUAUUAUCAGUUCAGAAACUGAUGAAAUUAGAGAAGUAGAAAGCAGAGGUGACCAAGUGGAGAUCGCACACUUUAUGAGAGAUGCAGUGAAAAGUCAG
Molecule: non-coding RNA, 189 nt
Organism: Camellia sinensis
Lineage: Eukaryota; Viridiplantae; Streptophyta; Magnoliopsida; Ericales; Theaceae
Source: RefSeq, a predicted model, not a curated record